UACGGGGAGACCUAAAUCGUGACUCAAUUUACCCUUUUGUAGAGGGAAUACAAGCGUGCUAAGGCUUAGAAAAAGCCAUACUCGUCUAUAUUCCAUAUUUAAGGGGCCUCUCAAGCAAAAAUGAACCCUAUAACUAGCAUGAAAUGCAAAAAUCCUAACAUGGAGGGAAAAGGGGUUCGAGGGGCAUGCAAAAUGAUAAAACUAAAAAGAAUGCAUGACAUGUAAUGAACAUGCAAACAUGUACUAACGGGGGGAAAUCCCUAAGGGUCUAGCGUUGGACUAGCCCAUUCUAUGCAUUCCGACUAGCGUUGGACUAGUGGAAACGUCCAUUCAUCCAUCACAUUCAUUCAUGGCUAAGGAAAGCGAGUAGACAUGCCAAAUACUCAUAAACACAUAGCACAUAACAUUUAGCAUGCUCGACUAGAUGCAAGGCCCUAACAAAGCAAAUUAACACUUAACACGUAGGCAUGCAACCAAGCUAAUGAACCUAUUACAUUCACUAACUAAAACAAAAGGGGAAAGGGAAAAAGGACCAAAUUGCUCGCCACAGCCCUAUCUAUUACAAGCCAAGAGGUGUACACAUUACCCAUUAAAAGAAUAACUUAAUGAAAACAAAAAGUAAAUGACACAAGUAAAAGGAAUUAAAGAAAAGCUAGGAAAGCAAAGUGGACAUGCAAUUCACUUAGCACGUUGAGCCACAUAGGAGAGACACAAAAAGGGAUAAAAGAAAUUAUACCGUCCCCUUUGAAUUGAUGCCCUAAAUGGAGUGAAAUCACUUAUUUAUCCUCCAAAAUAAAAGAAAUGGUCAAGAUACCAAUUUAUUUGGGAAAAUUAAAGAAAACAUGCAAACACGGGCUCACAUGGUCAUAAAGCUCUUAAAUUCAUGCAUGAGGUGCAAUUUAAACAAAGCAUAGUAGUUAAUUGAAGCAAACAAGCAAUGAAGUUGUAAAAUUAAAAACUACCAAGGACCAAAUUGAGAAAACAUUCAAUUGGUUGGGUCAUGGUGGAACAAGGGGGAGACUUGGGGGGCCAAAGUGCAAAUCUUAAAAGCCAUUUGCAUGCAUCUACGUAUGAAAAGACUUUGUUCUAAUUUCUGCAACAUGAACUACCCGACUAUCCCUUUUCCAUUUUAUAUUUGUGGACUUCCUCAAGCUUUAGGACCAAAUCAAAUGCAGUUCGCACCCAACAACAAACCACUACCUGAUCUACUCACUUUACAAUGCAACAAAAGAAACAAUCAAGCCAAAGGAGCCUGCUAAACAACGAAGGAAAUUUUCUGCUGCAACAUUCAUCCAGAAUUUUUCCAACUUUAAGCUUUCAAAUGCAUGUUUCAUAGAAGAUUUCAAACAAAAACCAGCAAAAAUCAUCACUCAAUCACCAUUUAACAACUAAACACUUUGAUUAGCACAAUCCAAUCGUGAACAUCAAAGCAUUAAAGAUCCAGUGAGGAAACAGAAAGACAACAGAUGCGGCAAAAAACCAGCUUUCUAAAUUUCUUAAAGGGAACUUCAUCAUCAAAAACAAUUAUCGAUCCCUAAAGGAACUCAUCACAGCACUUAGCCAUAAAAUGCAGCAAAGAUAGAAAGCAACUUGCGUCAAUUUUCCAGCCAUGGCUCUAGGCAAAACUACUGCAACAAGCAGUUUCAUUUCUUUCUUAACCUUGUUCAGAAAAAUUCAUGCAAAAUAACACAGGUCUAGAUAUGUUUAGCUUAGACAUUACCGCAACAUGUAACGAAACAACACAACGAAACACCAUGAAUGCUUGCUGCAAUUUCAAAAUCCAGCUUUUCAAGACAUCAGACCCAACCAUAACAAACAAACAAAUGAGCACCGAAUGAUCCAACUUCCCAAACCUAUCACCAAGAUAUAAUACUAAUCUCUGAAGAGAGAAAAAUCUAGCAGAGGAGAAGUUGGCCAGACCCCAUAUUCGUUCAUUAGCUUCAAGUUACUGGGUUUUCAUCAACAAAGAUACAACUGACAAGCACUCACAAUUCUAAUCAAAUGGAAACAAAUUAUGCAGCUUGGAAUUUAACCAAGAUUCACCAUUUGAUCAUCAUAUCAAACACAUACGGCGACGAACAUACACAUGAGAUACCGUGAAGCAAACAACAAGAGCCCAGGAGAUAGUUUAAGCCAUUCUGGAAAUCUUUUACUCAAACCAAAAGAUUGAUUUUUCCCAGAAAUUUCUAUAACUAAAACAGAAUUUCGGAAAAAACUGUUGCUGCAGAUAUUCAAACACAAAUAUAACCAAAACCUGGCUCAAAUAAACCUCAUGGGUUUGUCAAGAAAAACUAUAGAAAGACUCCCUACCACCUUAUCAGGAUUCAACACUAAGUAUGCAAACAAAAGGCAAAUCUAAAUGGGAAGAAAAGCUAGCAACAAAAACAGAUUUGUUCAUGCCACCUUUACAAAUUUCUGACCUCCAAAUUUGUGGCAUAUCAGACCCAACCGACAACUUGGAGCAACAAUUUUCACUAAAAAACCUUAACCAUCAGAUUUAUUUCCUCAAAGCAAGAUUAAACAAACAGAUUUGCAACAAAACUCAAACCCUUCGGCUGCCAUAAGAAACAAAAUAGCAAAACAUGUUCAUAACCAAACAUAACCAGAUCUUUGGCAUAUUUAGAGCUCAACCUAAACUUGUAUGAGAAGUAGAGAGCAAAAAGAGAUUACCUCUUGACGCCUUGUAGGGUCAGAUGGACAGAGAAUCGGUUAACAAGAUUACGCCUGGAUGCAGAUUUCAGAGUGGUGGAUUUUCUGGUGAAGAUUGUCCAAGAGCUCUUCUAGCCGCCGCCCUCCUGUUUUCUUGUUGCCCUCCUUUGAUUUUUCUGGUUUUUCCUUUGCCGUUGCUUUUGCUUGCUAUCCGUCACUCUCUCCUCGUAAAAAAAAUCUCCCCUUUCUCUCCUUCUGAAAUUCUCUCUUCCCUAGCCACCGAACUCUCCCCGUUUCCCUUUCUGUUUUUCUUUUUUUCGUCCCAGAACAGCCGCCUCUCUUUUUUCUGGUUCCUUCUCUUUGCUUUUGCCGUAUCUCCCUCUUUCUCUCCCGUCUCCCUUUCGUAGUCCUCCCCCCUUGCGGCUGCCCCUUCUUUUUUUUUUAUACUAGGAACCCCCCUCACCCUAAAACCUUCAAUCCUUCUUCUGCAAUUUGCAGCCAAGGAGCCGCCUAGUCCUCUGUUUGCAAGCUGCGGCAAUACGCAGCUUCAUGCCGCGUUUCUGUUUUCUGUUUUUUUUUUUUAAACAAUAUUGAUAAUAAUAAAAAUAACAAAAUAAUUUAAUUAACCUUGGAUAAAACAAAUAAACUAGAAACAACAAAGUAUAAAAUCCAAUUCUUUUUCAUUUUUCAUUUUUAUCAUUUUUCAUUUUUUCCAAGAAAGCAAUGAAUAAAACAAAAUGACUAAAACAUAUUUUUUUUUGAAUGUUUUCCUUUUCCUUUUCCUUUUUUCCCUUUUUAUGAUUUUUCAUUUUUUCAUUUUUUCACGAUUUUUCCUUUCUCUCUUUUUUUUUUUCAAGAAAUUCUAUGCUAAAAACUUAAAAAAAAUAAAAAUAAAACUAUAAACUAAAAACUAAAAAUCGAAUAAAACUAACACGACAAAUAAAAAAAUAAAAAUAAACAGUAAAUGAAAUUACACCAAAAAUUUGGUGUCUACACUUUAUUAUAAGAGAAAAAUCCUAUACAAGAAUACAAUUUGAACCCAACUCCAACCCUUACAUAUCAUCUCUCAUCUCCCAAGAACCCUCUCUCACUAUCCAUGUAUAAGGCUACAUGUCGUCUCUUGUAUGCCUUUGUGUGUCUCUUUAUAAUAUGUUAAUGUACCUAUUUAUAGGGAAUAUUAUUUGGCCAAAAUUUAAAUAAUAACAGAAAAUCAGUGCUAAUCAGAAUAGAAAAUAAUUAAAUCCUAAACAAAAUAAAAAAUUUCUUAACCACUAUUUCAAAUAACUAAAAUCAAUUAGAAAACUAAUUACUUCCACACAAAAUAAGAAACCUACUUAAAAGAAAUUAAGCUAAUUUCCUAACAGAUGCUAAUGAAUUUUCUAGAAUUAAAGGUUAUAAAUCAGCUAAAAAAUUUGAAAUAGUUUGUGUGAAAUACAUGACGGUAAUCAAGAUAUUAGAGAACAAAAGAAAUCUCUACUUGUUGUUAAACAUGAAUCUUUCAAAAUGGAAUCUCAUAAGAAUGUUGAUAAGUGUAUUAUAGAUUUAGUGAUAUUAUAAAGAUCUUGAAUUGUUUGGUAAAAAAUAUAUUUUGGACGAGAAAAAUAGAAAAAUUUUAAAUGCUUUAUCCAAAGGUUGGGAGAGCAAAGUGAUGGCCAUUGAAGAGAUUAAAAAUUUAAAUUCUAUGUCUAUUGAGUUUCUUAUAAACUCUCUAACCUCCUAUGAAUUGAAAUUUGAAUCUAAAGUGCAAGAGGAGGAAAACAUUAAGGCAAGAGAAGUAUAACUCUCAAAACUUAUCAAGAAAAGGAUGAUUUGCUCUCACUUGAUGGUGAAGAUGUGAAUGAUGUAACUCUUAUGAUGAAAACCAUCUAGAAACUCUUCAACAAUAAGAGAGGAUUUAGAAGAGACGGACCAACCAACAGUCAAUUCUCAAAUUCCACAAAAACAAGAGCAAAUAGCAGACAAAAUUUCAACAACUUUCAAAUUACAUGGAAUGAUUGCAAUUCAAAUGGUGAGAUUGAAGAAAAUUUUGAACGGGUCAAAUGACAUUUAUCGUCAUUAGAGAUGAUGAGGUAUCUUCUAACUAUUCCUCUAAUGAUGAAAUGAUGAUAAUAUUGAGACACUUGUGAUUAAAUUGUAUGAUGGUUUGAAGGAAUUUUAUGCAAAAUAUAAAGAUUUGAAAUCAAGAUCAAUGCUUAGUUAAAAAAAAAUUCAAAUCUUUUUCAACAAAACAAAAUAUUGAAAAAGAAAAAUGAUGAUUUAAAAAAGUUUAAAGUUGAUAGUGUUUGCAAUCAAAGUGAUUUCAAAAAAUAAUUAGAUGAGAAAACAAUGUUUUAUGAAAAGAUUAAAGAAGAACAAGCCUUGUUGAGAAAAAAAAAAUGAAUGAUCCUAGUGAUUUUCUUGAAAAAGAGAAACAAGAUAUUUUGGAAAAGAAAAAUAUUAGGAAUAUUUUGAUUAAUAAAAAUUUUACUACUUAUAGGAAAAAUGGAUUAUGCUUUGUUAGAUCCCUUCAUUUGAGAAAUACUCAUAUUAUGUGAUUAUUGUUGCCAACAUGGUCAUAUGAAAAGAGAAUGUUAUGUAAAAAAAUGUGAAUUUGAGAAUGAAAGCCAUUUAGGUUUUAAAAGGAUAAAACUAAGCCUUAUGGACCCAAGAAUAAAUGGGUCCUAAAUGUGAGCUCUCUUAUAUAGGUAUUCAAAAAGAAUUUAAUCCAAGUGAAACUUGAAAAAUGAUGCAAAAUGCCACUUGGAGUCAAUAGAACAAAAAACUUGAAUGUUUGAAAAGUAUAAAAGAAAAAGGUAAAUCAUGAUCAACAAGAAUGAUAACCAAUAUAAGUAGAUGGAAUGAUAUUGAGGAAUGUUUUCAAAACUCAAUUUUUUUUACCUCAAAUUUGUAUGAAAUAAAUAAGUGAUAUUUGAAUGCUUGAUUGAUGUGUAUCCUAGUAUGUAUUCUUGUGAGAAUAGAACACAUAGAUUUGAUCUGCCUAAUUAUUUUAAAAUUCUAUUUAUAUAUGUCCUAUGUGUGCUUGAUCUUGAGAACCCCCAAUAUUCUUUUUUUCUCUUAACUUACAAAAAAAGGAGGAGUUUCUUGAUAUUUCUUCAUGUAUAAUGUCCCUUUAUAUUUAUCUAUUUUUUGAUGAUGUCAAAAGAGAGAGAAAAUUGAAUUAUACUUCUUUGUAAAAUGGGUUUGUACUUAGGGGGAAUUUAUUUCAUCAAAAAAUUCAUUAUUUUAUUUAUCAUCAUAAAAAAGGGGGAGAUUGAAAACUUAGAUCGAUCAGUGCUUGAUUUUGAUGAAAACAAACAAAAAUGAUGAUUCCUACUAAUUUUUUGCCAAGUGCUUUAUGAGACUAUGGGUAUACAAUCAAAACAAUCAAUAUUGAAAGUAUUCAAAUGCACAAAAAGUGAUUCAAAGGAUCGGACGCUGCUCAAUUAUUCGAAUGUCCAACAUAUAAGGGUCACACUCUCAAAUGGAAUGAUUCGGACUUUGGACAGAUAUUUAAGAUGUCCACUACUUUCGGACACAUUGAUCGGAUGCACAACGGCAGCAUCGGCCGUUUGAAGAAUUUGAGAAGAAUUUGUCUACAUUCUGUCUGUUAUCAGAUGAAGAGGAUCGGAUACAGAAGAAAGUUUCGGCCGUUUGACAGGAGCUAAAAGAAGCUUUUCACUCAAUAAUCGGAUGCACGCUUUGGACACAUCCCUGGUUUUGGGCGUCUGAUAGUCUUAAUGGGUAGUUUUCUAACAACUAGUUUUUUUGAUUGUUAGAGAAAUUUUUUGGGUAAAGUUUCACCAUCUAUAAAUACCCUAUGUAUAGGUGUGGAAACAAAAUAUUGUAUGGGUAAAAAAUACAAGUUUUCAAGAUUGAUUUUUGGGUAAAAAAAUAUUUUGAAUAUUAUAGAGGUGUGAAAAAAGCUCUUAGAUUUAUGAGAUUUCUUACCGAGGAGAAGUAAAAUCUUGGAUAAGAUGAGUCUCACUUGUAAGUAUUUCUUAAUUUGUUGAGUGAGUUUUCAAUUGUAGUUAGUUGAGAGUUAACUAAGAGAGUUGUAAAAUUCCAUGGCUAUACUAAAGGAUUUUAGGGUGAGGAAGGAAUGAGUCUUCACUUGUACAAGUUGGUUAGUAUCACCAUCAAUUGAAAAAACUACUUGGUUUAUUCAAUUCUAAGCUUGGAAGAAACUUGGGAGUUUGUUUGGAUUGCAUUUCUCUCUUCUUUUAUUCUAUUGUAUGGUUAUAUUGUUUCAUUUUUAUUGCUAUUUUGUAUGCUUGAUUGUGUAAUCACUUUGGCUAAUUUUGGUUAGUUAAAAUUGGGUGAAUAUUUGUAAUUACUUGCUUGAUUCUUGAACAACUUAAUUCAUCCCCUCUUAGGUUGUUUUUGGGCCCUAAGAAUUGGUAUCAGAGUUUGAUCUUCUAGAGAUUAAAUUCAAUCAGUUUAGGAGUAAAGAUGGCAAUCAAUAAUAUUUUAUUUUUAGAGAGACAAUCUAUUAUUAGACCACCUAUGUUUAGUGGUUCACUUUUUAGUAGUUGGAAACAAAGAAUAGAAGUUUUCUUACAAUCUAUUGAUAUUGAAUUUUGGUUUAUUGUUAAUCUAGAUUCUUAUGAAACUACUCUUUUGGAUGCAAAUAUGAGUAAAAAUAGAUCUAAAACUAGGAAUGAAUUGAGUGCUCAAGAUAAGUUAAUCUUACUUUAAAUGUAAAAUUUAUGUAUGUUUUGUAUAAUAUUUUAGAUGCCAAUGAAUCUUAUGGAAUUAAAGGUUGUAAAUUGAAUUAAAAAAUUUGGAAUAAAUUGUGUGAGAUACAUGAUGGUAGUCAAGAUAUUAGAACAAAAGAAAUUUCAACUUGUUGCUAAAUAAGAAUUUUUCAAAAUAGAAUCUUAUAAGAAUGUUGAUAAGAUAUAUUGUAGAUCUUGAAUUGCUUGAUAAAGAAUAUACUUUGGGUCAGAAAAAUAGAAAAUUUUUGAAUGCUUUAUCCAAAAAUUAGGAAAGUAAAGUGACGACCAUUGAAAAGGUUAAAGAUUUAAAUUCUAUAUCUAUUGAGUUUUUUUAUAAACUCUCUAACCUAUGAAUUGAGACUUGAAUCUAAAGUGGAAGAGGAGAAAAAUGUUAGAGCCAAGAACUUAUCAAGAAUGAUUUGCUUUCAAUUGAUGGUGAAGAUGUAAAUGUUAUAACUCUUAUGGUAAAAACCAUAAAAAAACUCUUCAACAAUAAGAGAGGAUUUAGAAGAGGCGGUCUAAGUAACAACCAAUUCUCAAAUACUGCCAAAAUAAGAGCAAAUAGAAGACAAAACUUCAAUAACUUCCAAAUCACAUAGAAUGAUUACAAUUCGGAUGGUGAGGUUGAAAAAAAUAUGACAAGGGUCAAAUGGCAUUUAUGGCUGUGGCGACUCCACUUCCCCCUAAGGCGAACUAGAGGGUUGGCGGGCCAUUUGCUUAGCUCUCGCCAGGACUCACGCAAGCAAUCUAGCCCAAAUCAUUCCGAAGAAUAACCUAAGCUAUUACAAUAACGAAUCUCCCAGAAUAGAUCAAUUGCUAAAGCCACAUAAAACUUAACUAUUCACUCUCCAAUUCACGACCAAUAUUCAUUCUUAUUUCUAAGAAAAGGUCCAUUCCCAAACUUUGCCUGAUUUUCAAUUUUUAUGCGAGUAUAUACAUAUAUAUAUAUAUAUAUUUUGUAAAAAGGAACAACAAGUAAUUGGAUAUAUACCCAGUAAUGGUUAAGCAAAAAUUGAAAGGACUUUCAUUCCAUCCAGGUCACACCACAAAUAAUGAAUACAAAACUUGGAAGUUCAAAUAUUCGUAAAAAUUUAAAACAUGCCUAUAGGGCCAAUCACAAGAUAGAUGUAACGUAAUCAUUAAAUUCACAAGGGAGAACCUUACUAGUUACUCAACUAGGUCAAUCCAUUAUAAUACCAGUAGAUCUCAUCUCCUCGUUCAGUUUCGAUUUAGAUCAAGUACUAGGAUCCCAUUGGAUUAUACAAGACUGUCUAUCAAUUUUUCCUUCUAUUAUCUAUCUAACUCUUCUAACGGUUUUGAACCAUUAAUAUCCUUUGACGAGUUAAUCUUAACUUUUCCUCGUGUCUCUUUUCAAGUUCAAAUCGGAUCAAUAUUUUCAAAUUUAAGGCCGUAAGGUUUAAAAGGACACUUUUAUUUCAAACUAAAAUUAUCUGUAUUUUUAAGUUCCGUAAAUCCAAAAAUCACUAGUCCUAUACCAAUCAAAAGUUCUACAUUUGUCCCAAAAGGCAUCCUUUCAAGAUAAAAUUUGUAAAUAAAUGGAUCUUGACCUUAAAUUACAGCUUUAACAAAUAGGAAAAACAAUAAUGAAUUUGACAUUUCAUUUAUCUUAAGAAAAUUUCCGAUGCUCAUAGAAUUUAAGAAAAUUUGGAAAUUUUUACACGGUGAAAAGAGCCAUUGUGAACUUUUAAAUCUAAUAAACGAAACUAAAUUUUGGAUUUUUUUUAAUGAUAUAUGUGUGUAUAUAUAUAUAUAUUACACCAAUGCAUCACAAAUUUUAAAACUGUACGGUGUUCCUUUUUGUAAAAGAAAAAAUUUUUUUUAGCAAAACCAGGUUUAAAAAUUAUUUCCUUUCAACUUCAAAUUUCAUUUUCAAGAAUCAACGUUUAAAAUAUUAAGCAAAAUUUUGCCAAUGAUUUGUAAGAAAACAGGGCUAAAGAUAACUAAACGUGUUCGGCCAGCAGCAAUACUACCAAAAUUUUCACCGAUCCUAUCAUCACUUCCUUAUUAUAAUUCAUCAAUCUCAUGAAUUAACCACAAUAUGCCAUAAUCAACAUAUAUCAAGCUCUCUUAUCUUAUGCGGCAAGAAUCACCAAAAUUUUACACUAUGAAGGAUAGAGAAUUCCCGAGGCAUCUAGCCUAGUAAUCAAAGUCCAAGGAAUCUCUUCCAUAACCCAAGCUCAAUUAACCGGAAAUCAUUGAAUUUAACCAUAAACUUGUACAUCUAACGAGUUCAAACACCUAUCUCAUCCAAAACUCCAACCCUAAUUAUAACAAGUCUUAGAUCUCCAAAGUUUAUCAUAAAUUUUGUCACACUCGCACUAUUUGAAACUUCUUAAUAACAUCUUCUCUUAUCCACUAGUUUACCCCUUUUUUUUUUUUUUUUUAAAACAAGGUCAUACAAGAGGGAGAAUAAUCAACCAAAGUGAGAGCAUGUCAUUGCAUGAGUCGAUAAUGAAAAUAAAACUUUGCAUGUGUACUUCCAAACAAGUUAACAAGCCGACAUGAUCAGGUACAGAAUUUAUAGCAUUCAAAUACUUCAAAAGGGAUCAAAUAUCAUGCUUAACAAAACAUAUAGGCCAAAGCACAAGUAUCACCCCAACUAUCAUAAACUAAAGGUAUAAAAGGUCGUGCUUUAUAGUCUAGCUUGUAACUGAGCGAGGGAACUUAAUUCCCUUAGGUAAGGCCAACCUCAAUUUGAACAUUAGAGCUACAACAACUAUCUUUUCAAUUAAAGUUCUGCAUUCCAUCGUAAUAUCUAUCCUUUAACAAGCACGGGUCACCACAUACUUAACUAGGUACUACAAAAGGUAGGCCUUCCAAAUUCCAAGACAUAAUUCCAGUUAUGUUCCCAAGGCAAGAUCAAGGUAUAUCAACUCUAAAAUAUAUCCAGUGGCAAUGCUCAAGCACUAAAGGUUAUCCCAAACAAAUUAAUCAUUUAUUUCCCCAUAACUUAAAUCAAGAACGCCUCCAAGCAAAUGCCAUUAUUCAAGAAAUUUACUUACUAUCUUUUAAACAGUGUUUAAUCUCUUACAAUCUUCUUCUCUCUUGCUAGUCUAGCACAAUAAUCCUCAAUUAUUGAAUCUUAAUAACCAUCGAAACCACAAUUGCUCACUACUUCACUUUUUCACUUAAUAUUCAAACGAGCCCGAAUCCCACUGUCCGGCAUCCUCAACUUUUAGAAUUUAGGAUACACUACAGAGAUCUGAAACCUAGAGUUCUGAUACCACCUGUGGUGACCCCACUUCCCCCUAAGGCAAACUAGAGGGUUGGCGGGCCGUCUGCCUAACUCUCGCCAGGACUCGCGCCAGCAAACUAGUAAAAUCCUUCCAAAAUAUAGCCUAAACUAUUACAAUAUUGAUCCUCCAAAAUAGACCAAUAACUAAGACCACAUUAACUUCAGAGAUAAUAGCACCUUCAGAUAGCGACUCGUCGAUUCUUAAACACCUUACGCGUUACAAACCAUGGAAUAAAAUCAAACAACGCCAAUUAACAAAUUCAUACUCACCAAAUACAUUCUUACAAGCUAAUUAACAAAUUUACACAAGCCACAUAACCAAUCUAGGGUUUACACUUUUCCAGCUUCAAGUGGCAACCCGAAACAAAACUACAUUGUUUAAUCCGAAAUACAUUACAACUACAGAGCUAAGUCAUAAGGUUCAAAUACAUUCAUAAGAAAAUAAAAGUAGGCUCAGAUCUCUCAAAUGUCAAGACCUGUCAAGGAAAACAAAUAAACGUGGGGUGAGCUAUAGCUCAGUGGUGCCCCAAAACAUGCAAUCAAAUAAAACAAAUAACACGCAUUGAUUUCAACUAGAGUAAACAACUAGGAAAGCGUGUAACAGUACAAGGUAGGAUACAGGGCUCUCAGGAGCCAUUUCUCCACGAGCUUGAUCAAAAUUUUCCGUAGUCGAACCCCGUCAACUUUCACUAUCUAAGGUCCAUGUAGAACUUCUUAUUUUUCUUAACUCUGGCCACCAAUUAUACCCCUAUUCAGGACCCGAACGCCAAGCGCGAAAGUGGUAAUACUCGAGUAUACCUUAAUAUAGGCUGGUCGAGGGAUUCACCCAACGACGUUACGUCCAACACGUGGCUACUAGGUCAGGAUAAGAGGCCCUCCCACCUUUAAGGUGUGGUACAUUCCCCUGCCUAGUGAUUUAGUACUUGAGAUAGGAUAAGAGACCCUCCCACCCUCAGGUGUGGUACAUUCCCCUACUCAGUGCUUAGCAAGUGCAAGCAGGAUGUUCACGAAAACAUUUCACACAAGUCACCACUCGAAAGGCUAGUGUGAUAAAGUACACACUGCUCACUUCGAUGGAUCAGAAACCAUUUUUCAGUUUUCACAUAUCAAGUCAAGAAAGCACUUUAAUCAAGUAGGCAUAGAACAAGUAGGGACACUUACCUAGGAGUGAAGCUCAAAGGUCAAGCUGGGAUUCAAAAUUCCACGUCCUCGCUAUACCCUAGAAAACCAGGUUUUAAAACUAUAAGUUUUACUAUACAAAUGCUUGAUUUAUAUACAAGAUUAUCGGGUUUUAUAGCUAGAUUAUUUUCUCGAAGUAACUCAACCAUUCUUUUGAAAUUAAAACUAGUAAAAAUGAUAAAACAUUCCGUAUGGUUUCUUUUAAGAAAAAUACUUUUCUUUCUAGAGGAGCAAAUAGAACUUAUUUAUGUCAAAUGGGUUUUCUUGCCAAACAAGUUUUCUACGGCUUUUGUUUAAAACUAUUAAAAUCUCGCGUUUGUAACGAGUUUCUCAAAAACAACUAGCCAGGGACAAAUUUUAAGGAAAGAACAGAAAAUAAAAGAAUACCUAGGGUUUUAAAAGCAAGUGAAAUCAUUUUCUAAAAAUAAUAAAGCUAAUUUAAGCUAGGAAAAGAAAUAACUAGUUGACAAUGUAUUUCAAAUCCCGAAUUUCUCACGUGAUCGUACAAGACGAAUUUUUUGUAGUUUAAUACAUAGAGUAAAAUAUAUUCACGUAGCCCGAUUUGAAAAUACUCAAGUUCACAGGGUCAAAAUGAACUUUUCAGAUUCCGAUUCACAAGCACAUUAUAUCUCAGAUUUGCCAAUAUAGCAAAAUCACAUUUCAAACAGCAAUAUCACUUGGACUUCGUCAAUCAUUAGCCCUGGGUUUCAACAGAUUCAUAUCUGAUUAAAAUUAAACAAAUGACAAAGGCUUCAUCAAUCAUUAGCUCUUGGUAUCCAACAGGCUCAUAUCAGAUCACAAUUAAACAAAUAAAUUCAAGGCCUCUAGGCAAUUCCAUCGACUAAACCGCAAGGGUUUUAUCCACCAAGUGAAACUAAUAACAUGUAAUUCCAGCAGUUAAUUCCAUCAAAAUUUAACGCUUGUGCAAUUCACUCAAUUAGCCAAGAAUUUCCAUCUCAACAUUUUAGCCAUAAACAUUAAAUUGUCACCCCAACUUUCUCAUGCAUGACCCUCUUAAAAUAUUCUAGAGUGAAAUCAACAAGUGUGGAAUAUUUUACAGCUUGUCAAACUUUAAAUGCAACAAUUUGGAAUCCCAAAAUUCCUAAAGAAAACUGGAAAAAUCUUUUCUUCUUCACUCGGCUAUACUGGAAAAAUUCCAGCAGCUUCAUUUAACUAUUUCCAGUUCAAUCUCCCAACAUAUCAAGAGUUUCACAUCUAUAUAGCUUACAAGACUUAAGACACACGUAUAUCAGGCAUUUCUAAACAUCAUUUCCAAAGAAAAUUUCCAAAAACAAGCUGCAAUUCCAGCUUCACUCCCUCGGCACAAACAGAAAUUUUUCCAGCACUUAGUUGGUCAUAAUCCAGCUUUUCUUUCGGCCAAAGCCUUGUAUUUGGCACUCAAAUCCAGCAUGCAACUCCUUAACUAAUUAAUUAACGUUUCUAGUUCAAAAUCAGAUUCGGAUAACAGCCACAUUCAUCCGAAAUUCCAGAAACUUGUUCAGCUCUUCUCGGCUAAUCUUGCAUGCAACAGAAUCCAUUUCAUUUUUUUAUUUUUCUGGCUUAAUCCGAGCUAACUAACCUCAUGCAAGACUUAAUCACUUAGUUUUUUAGUUAGCUAAUCACAUUUAUGAGCUCAGAUUACUUCAGAGAAACAAGAUUAAAGCGGCAGUUCCAUUUCAGCUUCUCGGCAAACCCAUUUCCUUCAAAAUUAGAUUUUUCCUCUUAUUCAAUUCAUCAUCCGAACGCCUAAACUUCACAUGCAUGGCCAUAAACAAUUUAAUCUACCUCUGAUCAACUCAUCUUAGCUCGGAAAUUACCUCAAAUUGAAGCUUAUACACGCGACAAGAAAGCUGUCAAAUUCUCCUCCUCUCGGCUCGCGCAAGGACUGCAGGUGUUGGUCCUGGUUGCGGAUGGUUGCAGCUGUGGUUUUGAUGGCUGGAGCUGAUGAAGGUGGUGAUGAUCAGCAGCUCCCGCAACUGCCUCUUGCUCUCUCUCACUCUCUCUCUGUCUCUCUCACUUAACUUGCUCGGACAGAACAGAAAGGUUGCCGCUCGUGCGGCUUCCUUUCUUUUCUUUCCUCUCGGCUUGCAGAGUGCAGCUCUCUCUCACUCCUCGUCGAUGAUAACAAGGCAAAGGAGAAUGUUGUUGUGGGUUUGAGGUGUGGUAGUGUGGAGAUGAGAUGGAGAUAAGUUGCGGAUGAGGGAGUUGAGUGUGCGAGUGGAAAAGAAAUGCAGUCCGGCAGAGAAUGGAAAUUUUCUGAUUUGAAGAGUGGCCAAUGGAGCUCGAAUGGUUGCAUGGAAAUUUCCGAGAUAGUGGAGGGCUAUUUUAGUCUUUUCUCGUUUCCUCCAAAUUUCUACUUAAGUCCUCAAUUCUAGUCUAAUUCCAAAAUUUACCCCAAAAAUAAUUGAAUGCCUAACGAUAUACUAAUCUCGCAAAGAUUCAAUUAUCGAGAUUUUAACGUCCUAAGUGUAUCCAGUGUCCUUGUAACGGUUUAUCUAAAAUAUAUCGAUUUCGUCUUAAUUCUAGGGUUCCCGUUAACACUUAACGUUAUUAACACUUAAAAUUAGCUAUCGGAAUUCAAAGGAUUAAUAUUAAAGCAAUAAAAUACUCUACAUCAAGAAAUAUUAAUUUAGCUUGGCAAAAAUUCAAAUAGUUUAGUAUGUUGCACAAUUAAAUGAGUUGUAUCAUAAGAAUUAUUUUUACAUACCUAACUAAAACAAAUAAUAAUAAAAUUUAUUCAAAGUCUAAAAUGCACAUGCAACAAGUAUAUAUAUGUAUAUAUGUAUAUAUAUAUAUAUAUAUAUAUAUAUAUAUUUUUUUUCAAGGCUCUCACAAUGGCCAUUAGAGAUAACGAGGUAUUUUUUAACUAUUCCUCUAAUGAUGAAAAUGAUGAUGAUAUUGAGCCAUUUGUGAUUAAAUUGCAUGAUAGUUUGAGCAAAUUUUAUGCAAAAAAUAAGGAUUUGAAAAUCAAGAUCAAUGCUUUGUUAAAGAAAAAUUCAAAUCUUUUUCAAGAAACUAAAAUGUUGAAGAAGAAAAAUGAUGAUUUAAAAAAGUUCAAAGUUGAUAUUGUUUGCAAUUAAAGUGAUUUGAAAAAAAAAAUUAGAUGAGAAAACAAUGUUUCAUGCAUAGAUUAAGGAAGAACAAGCCUUAUUGAGAAAAAGAAUGAAUGAUCCUAAUGAUUUUCUUGAAAAAGAAAAACAAGAUAUUUUAGAAAAAGAAACAUAUUAAGAAUACUUUGAUUAAUAAAAAUUUCACUUUCUAAUAAAAAUAUUAGGAAUAUUUUGAUUAAUAAAAAUUUUACUACCUAUAAAAAAAAAGAUCAUGCUUUGUUAGAUCCUUUUAUGUGAGAAACACUUGUAUUUUACAUGAUCAUUGUUGUCAAUAUGGCCAUAUGAAAAGAGAAUAUUACAUGAAAAGAAAUGUGAAUUUGGGAAUGUAAACCAUUUAGAUUUUAAAGGGUAAAACUAACCCUUAUGGACCCAAGAAUGAAUGGGUACCAAAAGUGAGGUCUCUUGUGUCGGUAUCCAAGAAAAAUUUAAUCCAAGUAAAGCUUGAAAGAUGAUGUAAGAUAUCACUUGGAAUCAAAAGAACAAGAAAUUUGAAUGUUUGAAAAGUGUAAAAGGAAAAAGGUAAAUCAUGAUCAAUAAGGAUGAUAACCAAUAUAAGUAGAUGGAAUGAUAUAAAAGUGUGUUUUCAAAACUCAAUUUUUUUACUUCAAAUUGUGUAUGAAACAAAUGGGUGAUAUUUGAAUUCUUGAUUGAUGUGUAUUCUAGAAUGUACUUUCGUGAGAAUAUAACACAUAGAUUUUAUAUGCCUAAUUAUUUUGUAGUUCUAUUCAUAUAUGUCCCAUGUGUGCUUGAUCCUGACAACUUCCAAUAUUUUUUUGUUCUUGACUUGCAAAAGAAAGGGGGAGUUUCUUGAUAUUUUUUCAUGUAUAAUGUCUCUUUAUACUUAUUUAUUUUUUCAUGAUGUCAAAAGAAGGAGAAAAUUGAAUGAUAUUUCUUUGUAAAACAGGUUUUUACUUAGGAGGAGUUUAUUUUAUCAAAGAAUUCAUCAUUGUAUUUGUCAUCAUUAAAAAAGGAAGAAUUGAAAACUUAGGUUGAUCAAUCCUUAGUUUUGAUGACAACAAACCAAAUGAUGAUUCAUACUAAUAUCUUUCCAAGUGCUUUGUGAGAAUAUAGCUAUACAAUCAAAACAUUUAAGAUUGAAAGCAUUUAAAUACACAAAAAGUGAUUCAAAGGAUCGGAUGCUGCUCAAUUAUUUGAACGUCCGAUAUAUAACGAUCACACUCUCAAAUGGAAUGCUUUGAACGCUGGACAGAUAUUUAGGACGUCCACGACUAUCGGACGCAUUGAUCAGAAGCACAACAACAGCAUCGGCCGUUUGAAGAAUUUGAAAAGAAUCUAUCUACAUUCUGUUAGCUACCGAACGAAUAGGAUCGGACACAGAAGAAAGAUUCGGCUGUCCGAUAGGAGCUAAAAGAAGCUUUUCACUCAGCAAUCGGACGUACGCUUUGGACACAUCCUUGGCUUCGGAUGUCCAAUAAUCACAAUUACUAGUUUUCUAACAACUAGUUUUUUGACCUUUGGAGAAGCCUUUGAGGCAAAAUUUCACCAUCUAUAAAUACUUCUAAGUAUGAGAACAAACUAGACUUUUGCCUACAUAAUAUGCAAGUUUUCAAGAGUGAUUUUUGGGUAAAAAAAAUAUUUUGAAUAUUGUAUAGGCAUGGGGAAAGUUCUUGGAUUUGUGAGAUUUCUCGUUGAGGAGAAGUAAAACCUUGGAUAAGGUGAACUUUACUUGGAAGUAGUUCUUAAUUGGUUGAGUGAGUUUUCAAUUAUAACUAAUUGAGAGUUAAUUAUGAUAGUUGUAAAACUCCUUGGCUCUACUAAAGGAUUUUAGGGUGAAGAUGGAAUGAGCUUUUACUUGUACAAGUUGGUUAGUGUCACCAUCAAUUGAAAAGUUAUUUGGUUGAUUUUAUUUGGUUUAUAUUUCUCUCUUUUUUCUUUUAUUCUAUUAGAUGGUUAAAUUGUUUCAUCUUUAUUGCUGUUUUGUAUACUUGAGUGUGAGAUCACUUAAGCUAAUUUUGGUUAUUUAAAAUUGGGUGAAUAUUUGCAAUUACUUGCUAGAUUCUUGAACAACCUAAUUCAUCCCCUCUUAAGUUGUCUUUGGGCCCUAACACACUUUAUAUAGGCACAACAUUAUAAUUUCAAAAUCGAAUGACAAUACAUGGAUAAUUUAUGUAAAGAAAAUUUAUUAGGAAGAGGAGAAUCCUAAUUUAAUAUAUAUUUUUAUUCUAAAUACUAUUUAAACUAUUUGUUGUAUGACUUCUAGAUUUAACAUUCAAUCAAUUAUUUUUAGGGAUCGUGGUUACAUUAACAAAUAAAGGUAAUUACCAAAAUGAAGUACUUGUAUCGAUUUUUGGAAAAACUCCCUAUUGUUUUUCUUGUCUUUCUUUUGUAUUAAAUCAAAUAUUCAAUACUAAAGUUUUAAUAUUUCUUGGCUGCUGAGGUUUUGGCCUAGUGAUAAAAGUUGAGACGAUAAAACUUUGAGAUUUUGGGUUCAAAUCCCCUUUCUCCUCCCACUUCUUAAUUCCACCCUUUCCCUACUUUAAAAAAAUUAAAGAAAAGAUAAUACAAUUUUAAUAUAUUUAUAUUUAUGUUCAUCUACAUUGACAAUUCUGUUAAAUAAUUGAAAAGCAGAACAUUUUUUGGCCUAGCAAUAGGGAAAUUUAAGGUUCUGGCGGCAGAGGGUCUAUCUCCAGAGCUUUGGUUAUGGCUGCCCUCCAGCCGCUGGUGGAGGGGCACAAGACUUCCCCUAUAAAGGAAAAGUCUUUCUCCCAAUUAUUUUCCAGCCCUGCAACAUCCCCCAUUCGGCUGCCGCCUGUAUCAUUGUACAAGGGGGAGGCGGCUGUCAUCUUCAUGAAGGAAGAUGCUGAGAAACUUGCAGCACCUUUUCGCAAUUUUCCCAUGGCAGAUCGGUGCUGGAGGACAUCAGGAAGUUUUUCUCUACACUAAGCCUGCAGGACCAUGUUUCGGUAGGUUUGUUGGACUACCGGCAUGUCCUCAUCAAAUGCACUGUUGAGGAAGAUUUCAACCGGAUAUGGACGCGUGGUAUCUGGCAUCUAGGGAGGUAUUCGAUGCGGGUUUUCCGUUGGACCCGAGAUUUUCACGACCACAGAGAAUCAUCACUGGCUCCAUUGUGGGUGUCCUUGCCGACGCUACCAGUUCACUUUCAUGAUAAACACUCCUUGUUCUGCAUCUUGGCUCCAGUUGGAAGGCCUCUCUUUGUCGACACGGCUACGGCAGCAGGGACUCGUCUGAAUGUGGCUAGAGCGCGUGUUGAGAUUGAUCUUUUAAAACCACCCUGCUCCCGGGUGUGGGUGGCAGUUGAAGAGGAGCCUGGGUUUUGGCAAAAAAUUGUUAUAGAGGAUCUGCUGAAAUACUGCUCUACAUGUUGGUGCCUGGGACACUCUGUUGAGGAGUGUAGGAGGGAUCCGAAAGUGCAGGGAGCUACUAGAACUCGAGGACAGACUGGGGCUGUGAUGCGAACGACGCAACUUCAGGUUGCAGCAACUGACAGAAAGCGUGUGAUUGAUACCAGUGGGGAUGACUGUGUGGUGCCGGAGCGCAGGUCGAUUGUGCAAGAUGCUGUCAAGGAUGAUACCCAGCCACUGCAAGGAGAAGCGCCUCAUGGAGCAGAUGUCCCUGUGUGCGAUGGGGAGCAUCUCAGGGAGGAGGAGCAGGAGUGCAUGCGGCCUGGGCAUGUUGAGGAGGCCAUGGUUCACCCAGCACCACCAGUUUUGGUGUAGCAUUCGGUGCAAGAGGAGGUGUCCCCAUUGGCACAGGGGGGCCAGGUUGCUGUUGAGAGCAGUGUUGCUGUUGACAGCAUCGUGGGAGUAUCAGACUCAGUUGUGUGAGAGAUAGCGGGCUUAGCAGAGGUGAGCACCAGGUGGUUGGAAUCAGCAACCGACGAUGGGACAACGGCUGAGGUGGAGGAGGACUUGCUGCAACUUCCAUGUGUGGCUAGAAAUUUAUCUCCGAGGGGGGAAAGGCUGCCAAGGACUCAAAGGGCUUCACCUUUGCUACAACUCAACAUUAAUCAAUCCGCGGUAAUCGAGAAUGCAGCAAAGAAAGCGAGGACCAGGGAUAUAAGGGCGAGGUUCCCGUUGGAUAGAUAGCUUCGGUCUUCGUCAAUCUUUUUGCAAAAUUUCUUCCAGGUUCUAUCAUGAUUAACGGUCUUUUUUCAAAUAUCUGAGGGGUCUCUAGACCACUUAAUCUAAGAAGAUUAAUUAAACUAGUUCUCUUACAUAGCUUGAAAUUGGUCGCUAUGUGUGAACCAAAGCUGGAUUUAGCUCAAAUUCACUCCAUACGUUUGCAUCUACAUUUUGACUCGGUGGUAGCUAAUGACUUAGCAGAUAUAUGGGUGUUUUAUAGUUCACCGAUCACUUGUACGAUAAUUGGGACCUCUGAUCAGCAUGUAUCGAUGUCGAUUCAACAUCCGUGGCUACCUAAUUCCUUUAUUUUUUCAUUUGUCCAUGCUAAGUGUACAAUUGUGGAGUGGAGGGGAUUGUGGCAGGCACUCCUUCGUGACAAACCCAGCUCGCUUCCCUGGUACAUAUGUGGUGACUUUAAUGGAAUUAUGGCACCAUAUGAGAAGCGUGGGGGCCGACCUUUUAGCAACUCGGAGGGUUUGGAGAUCAUGACAUUUAUGGAGGAAGCGGGAGUUUUUGAUGCGUGAUUUUCCGGUUCUUGCUUCACAUGGUGCAAUGAGAGAAGGGGUAGAGCUAGAAUAUGGAACGCUUGGCUAGGAUGUUAAUCAAUGGAGAUUGGAGGCAGCCCGUCUCUGUGACCCACUUGGCCAGGCAUCCCUCUGAUCAUGCACCGUUAAAAAUCUCAUUCAAGACUCCGGUGGAUAGUAAACUGAGACCUUUCCGAUUUUUAAAUGUUUGGACAUCUAAGACAUCUCUGUUGGAUGUUAUUCGAGGUGCCUGGCAACGAGAGGUUGGUAAGAAACACAAUUGGAGUUACGAAAAGCACACGCAGAGUUCCGUCAAGCGCUCUUAGUUGAGGAAAGAUUUUGGAGCCAGAAGGCCCGAGUUAAAUGGCUGCAACAAGGUGAUUGCAACUCCAAAUUUUUUCACGCACUGUUCAGCAGCGAAGAGUGCAAGGAGCUAUACAUAGAAUUAAAACCAUGAACGGAGAAUGGCUGGAGGAGGAUUCGGACAUUACAGCUGAGGCAGUUCGGUAUUUUGAAGAGUUAUUUUCUGGACCUGAGAUGGCUGCCACGGAGUUGUUGCAGUUACUCCCGAGUAUUGUUACAGUGGAGGAUAAUGAUUUAUUAGAGGCUUGCCCAAUGUUGGAGGAAGUAAAGCGAGCUAUUUUCGAUAUGGAUGGGGAAAGUGCAGCUGGCCCAAAUGGCUUCACGGAUAAGUUUUUUACCUUUGUAUGGGAUAUUCUUGCACAGGACAUACGUACUGCAGUUGUAAGCUUUUUCUGUGAGGCAGAGUUGCCUCAAUUUAUUACAUCUACAUUUAUAGUAUUGAUCCCAAACGUGACCAACCCCCAGGAUUUUUCUCAGUAUCAGCCAAUUAGUCUUUGUAAUUUUUUUAACAAAGUGUUAUCCAGAAUUUUGGCCACUAGGUUAGCCACUAUUUUGCCGAGACUUAUAUCCCCCCAACAGACGGGUUUCGUGAAAGGCAGGAACAUCAUUGAAAAUUAUUUGCUUGCUCAGGAAAUUAUGAUGGUGAUGGGUAAGAAGGCCAGAGGGGGUAAUGUAGCUUUAAAAUUGGACAUGUCCAAAGUUUAUGAUCGGGUUUCAUGGUUCUUCCUUUUAAAUGUGCUUCGCAAAUUUGGUUUUGGAGAGCGUUUUAUUGAUAUGGUGUGGAGGCUAGUAUCUAAUGUUUGGUUCUUAGUCAUUAUUAAUGGAGCGUCGUAUGGGUUCUUUUAGGGGUGACAAACGGGUCGAGUUCGGGUUGGCGGGUCGGAUUGAGGCUUAAGUAUAACAAAGAACCUGCUAACCCGAACCCGACCCGCCAACCCGAAAUGGGUCAGGGUACCUGACGCGAACCCGAAAAUUUCGGGUUGGCGGGUCGACCCGAAAUGACCCGAAACUUAAUUUUAAUUUAUUAAUUUAUCACUGUAAUUUCUAAUAAAAUCAAUUUUUUCACAAAAUUAAUUACAUCAUCAAGUAAUAAAAAUUUAAAUAAAUAAUUUCAAACCAAAUCUAAAAUAAAUUAAACACCAUAAAAGUGUUUUAUUCCAAACCAAAUAUAAUUUAAAUUAAAACAACAUAAAAGUAAAAAAUAACAUAAUAUAUUAUUUGUCCAAAUAUAAUAAUUUUAACUUCACACAAGUUAAAUAAAUUCAUUUAGGAUUAAGUAAUUAAUGCCUUUGGAAAAAAAGAAUGAUUUAGUUUAGUUAGAUAAAAUAAUUUUUAUGUUUAUUAAAUUAGUUUUAAUUCGUAAACGGAUCACAUCGGGUCAUAUCAGGUCACCACGGGUUGACCCGAAAUUGACCUGUUUUCUUUUCGGGUUCAUCGGGUUCGACCCGAUUCUGACCCGAACUCCCAAAACCUCAACCCAAACCCAUUAAUUUCGUGUUAGGUUCGUGUCGUGUUUUCGGGUCGUGUCAGGAAUUGUCACCCCUAGGUUCUUUAAAUCGAGCAGAGGUCUUCGGCAGGGUGAUCCUCUAUCACCAGCUUUAUUUGUUAUUGGGGAAGAGGUCCUGUCAAAGGGUUUGAAUAGCCUUACCUCCCAGUAUGGUUACGUAGGUUUCAGUGUUCCCCGGGGAUGUCCCCCUGUGACUCAUUUAGCUUUUGCCCACGAUGUGAUUAUUUUUGCCAAUGGUUCGGCAAGGUCUCUUAAGGACAUUAUGUCUAUGCUGGAGUUAUAUCAAAGGUCAUCGGGACAAUUGGUGAACAUCCAGAAGUGUGGUUAUUUGGUGCAUCUGUCAACCGCUUUGAGUUGUUGCAGGGUGAUUGAGCACAUUACGAGUUUUUCUAGACAGAAGUUUCCGGUUCGUUAAUUAGGUUUUCCACUAUAUAUUGGGAGGUGUAGAUCAUCCUUUUUUGGAGGACUAUGUCAAACUCUUACUGGGAGAAUUUGUCGUGGAAGUCGAGAUUACUAUCACGUGAGGGUAGAAUGGUGUUAAUUAAGCACGUUCUUUCAUCUAUUCCGACUCACCUACUAUCUGCUGCGGUGGUGCCAGCUGCCGUAUUUAGUAUGAUAGAAAAGAUUUGUUCCAAGUUUUUAUGGGGGUCUUUGGAUGAAAUAUCUAAAUACCACUGGAUUCCGUGGUCUCAGUUGUGUUAUCUAGAGGUGGAGGGAGGUAUUGGUGUUCGAAGAAUAAGGGAUGUCUACACGGCAUUCUCGUGUAAACUCUAGUAGAAUUUUCACAUAGACAUGUCACUCUGGUCGGCUUUUAUGCGAAGAAAGUAUUGUAGUGGAAUUCAUCCAUGCCAGGCGGAUAUCAGGCUGUAUGAUUCAGCUACUUGGAAACGUAUGUUAAAUGUUAGCUGACAGAUUGAGCUAUCGAUGUUGUGGAUGGUGCUUGAGAGGGCGUGUAGUUUCUGGUAUGAUAACCGGCUGGGGAAUGGUGCUCUAUUUUUGAAAAUGACUAGUGUUCCGAAUCUUUCCUUUGAGGAUUUCAUACGUGAUGGUAGAUGGGAUGGAUAGUUACUGGCUCAGGAACUUCCCCCAGAUGUGGUCACCCUAGUGAUGCGAAUGCCUGUGCCAAAGGAGGGGCGAGGGGACGAGGCUGUUUGGAUGCCGUCAAAGUCUGGAGUUUUCACAUUAAAAUCUGCUAUCAAGAGGUUCGCCAGGCUCGUGCCAAUUCGGUUGUACUUUCUCACAUAUGGCACGACUGUAUUCUGUUGAAAAUCUCAUUUUUCAUGCUCCGACUACUUAUGCGGAGAUUGCCUCUAGAUGAUGUUCUGAGGAACAUGGGGUUUCACUUACCAUCCAAGUGUCGUUGUUGUGAAGCAGCGGGAGAAGAAUCGUUGGACCAUGUAUUUUCUAGGGGACAGACAGCCAUGGAGGUUUGGACCCAUUUUAAUGAUGUGUACGGCCCUGUCUUGCCAAAUGAGAAUAUAUGAGCAUGGCUGGUAUCAUGGUGGAUGGCCCACCCCAAUUAGCCUACAAACGGAAUAUUGUAGUUAAAAUUCUGCCGAGUUUCAUUUGUUGGAAUAUUUGGAAGGCGAGGAAUAAAGCUGUUUUUGAAGGCAGGAAAAUGCGUAGUAAGGAUAUCUGCUGGGCCAUUUUCUAGGAUGUGGCAACCUUGUUUGAGGCUCAAUUCGCGCAGCAAGCUAAACGGCAAACAUUCCAUCACUUUUAUGACCUUAUCUCUCAGUUACGGCCGGUAUACGAGAUCCAACUUCUGCAUUGGACAACAAGCAUAGGCAGGGUGCUAACGCUUAAUACCGAUGACUGCUCUAAGGGAAAUCCGGGAGUGUGUGGGGGAGGUGGUGUACUUAGGGAUUCGGAUGGAGGCCUCAUUUUAGCAUAUUCCGCAUUUUUAGGCAAGUCGGCCAGUCUAGGUGUAGAAGAUCAGGCAGUUUUGAUAGGUAUCAACUUGUGCAUUGAGAGGAGAAUUGAUUGAAUCUGCGUGCAAUCAGACUUCACUAUUUUGGUUGGCAUCUUGCAGCGACAGUUUCAGUGUCCUUUGAAGAUUCAGAGAACGGUGGAGCGUAUAUGGGAAAUGGUGGCAGAGGACUCUUGAUUCUCACAUUGGUAUUGAGAGUCAAGUAAGGUGGCGGACAUCUUAGCUAAUGUUGGGGUGUCCCAUCCUCAGGAAGCCAUGCGCAUUUAUGCCACGGUGGACAAGCUCCAAUCAUUGGCUCGAGGGGAAGGUUGGGUAGACUAGGCGUACCAUCUAUUUGAAAUAAGGUUGUUAAGAGUCGGUGUAUUGAAGUAUGAGGGCAAUGCCCCCUGUUAUGGGUUGUAAGUUUAUGCUUCUAUGAAUAAAGAGUAUUUACAAAAAAACAAAAAAAGAAACAACUAUAUGCAUUAUGUAUUUCAUUUGAUACUUAAUUAAUAACCAAUUAAAAUGCCAAAAAAAGGAAAAAAUUGUUGUUCAAUCAACUUAAUUUACAUAUAAUUGUUUGCACUAAAAGGGAUAUUUAAUUAGUGUUUAAUUAUCAAUGUUAGUGAAAGCAUAAUAAAACAUCUUAUCAAUCAACUAUUGAUAUAGCUAGACAUAUUAUGCCAAAUUUAAGAUCAACUAUGCACAAAAAGAAGAAACAAUUAGAAAUUCCUAUAUGAAUAAAUGCAAUAAAAAAUAAAAAGGAAAGUUUAUUUAGCUUUUUGUUUUUUAGUCUUAAAAUUUCUAGUGCAUAUAACACUAUUUCAACAGAAUUCAUUUAUAAUUUCAUCAUCAAACCCUUAAUAUCAUAUUUAGAAUUUAAGGAACCAUAAAGGAUGAAAAGUGUAAAGUCAAACUAACGACCAAACUGAAAUUUGAUUUUGACUUUUAGGAAUGGUAUCAAUCAUCCUAAAUCUCCUCAAAACUAGAAAGUUUGGAGAUGAAAUUUGUUUUUCUUGAAAUAUGUGGGACUAAUUUGACACACAAUCCAAAUAUUAGGGAACUAUUAUGAAAUAAUUGAAUAUUGUGGAUAUCUAUCACCUUUAUCUCAUCCCUUAGAUGGUGACAAGUCUUCCACACUUUUCAAGAUGAUAAAGCUAUCAUGACUUUUGAGGUGAUAAAGAUGACACGACUUUUAAUAAAACUAUUACGAAUCUCGAUAAAGCGAGGUGAUAAGCUCGUCGUAACUUAUGGGAAGAUUAUAUCACCAUCUUGAAGAAGUUAGCUGCUAUACUUUUUCCCUAUAAAUAGGGGUUAACCUUGACAGGUUGUCGAGGCCUGUGCAAUAAUAAAACCUGCUCAAACUAAAAGUGAUUUCUGUAGAUAGCGGUGAGCAGGGUCGAAUCCACAGGGACUGGGAGUAAUUAUUUCUUCUCAAGUUCACAGUAACAAGGGGGUGUUUUUGUGCAGAAGGUGACAAUCAAAGAAAUUCAACUAAAAUCUAAGAAACUACUAAAAAUUAAAUAACAAAUUACUAAAAUCUAAUGAGUGAUAAUUAAGGAUCUAGCCAAGGAAUAACUUCAGCAAUGGUUCACCUAAUUGAUCAUUGAAGCAAAGGCAAUUCCAAUUAUUUAUCAAUAAAUAGGUUAUAACUACCAAACAAGCGAUGACAAUCAACCCCUCCUUACUGUGUCGGUGAUCAAGGUACGCCCGUUAAUCACUGCUCUAAUUGAGAAAUAACCCUAGGUACGCCCGUAGAAUUUAAUUCCCCAAUUGCCUUACGUAUUAGAGGAGCCCUAUUCUAACCAAAUAACGCACUACCAGGGUUAUUUUAGAUUAGCCCGCGUAUCCCCCUGACACGAAUCUAAUCGUGCCAGUUGUCACUAUUUUGAGGUAAUUAAACAAUUACGGAUUUAAUACCCCAAUUGACAAUAGAUUACCCAAUCAAUUAAUUAUCCGGAUCCAAGACAACCAAUUAAUUAAAUAACCAUAAGCUUAGCAAUCAAGGAAUAUGCAAAUACCAAUAAAUAAAAGGAGAAGAUUAAAUUAAAUCGAUCUCACAGUUUUUAGAUGAAUCAAAGCAUCCAUUGCUCCUUGACUAGAAAGAGGGUUUAGCUCAUUAUUGAUGAGGGAAACCCAUGCAAAAUUGUAACAACAGCUGCGGCCAUUGUUCUUGCUCGCGCGAAUUCAACUCGGCCGAAGGAAUAAAGAAAAACGAGAAACUACGGAAAGUGAUUCAAUCUCUCAAUUGCCGUUGACAUGUCAAAGGAGAAGAUACUAUAAAGCUAACAAGAAAAGUCAACAAAAGCCACAUUGGCUCCUGACAUCCGUAAGAAGAAAACCAAAAAAGGUAAGAAAAGACUACAAAGGAAAAAUCAAAAGCAAGACUAAACUAAAAGAUGAGAAAUCAAAAGCUAAGCUAUUGCUCCUAUUCUAAUGGCUACUGUGCGGCUUCCGCCGCCCAGCCGAGAGAGGAAAAAGAAGACUUCGGCCUCCCCCUUUUAAUGUUGUCUUCGGGCCAAUUACCAAGAAGGGUUGCGGUUUGAUAUUCCAAAAAUGUCCCUAGAUGCCUGCUACUUGAACUCUUUCUUGAUAAUUGUCAAAUUGACACUUGUUAUGGUAUUUUCGUUCUACUCCCUGAAAUAAAUGCGAAAUAUAAAAAAUGAGUAGAAUCUAGCAAUUAAUCCACAUCAAGUCAGGUAAUAGGAGGAAUUAAUAAUAAAAUAAAUGAUAAAAUUGCAACCUAUCAAUUCCCCCCCACACCUAAAUCAUGCUUGUCCUCAAGCAUAAGAAAAGUACACAGACACCAAAAUUUGAUAAUGGUCAUUGCUCUAUCCAACAAAUUGCCAAGGUACCAAGAAAAAUAAUAAUCAAGCAUCAAUGGUCAAGUCCAAGAAACAUCAUCUCGGUUAGCUUCUAAACCACAAACUCCUCUAAUUUCAUGUUAACUAAUCUAAGAAAAAGGAAUAACGCAUAACAUUUAUCAGCAAAUGGUCCAACUAUUAACCAAAAUCUCAACAUUAAAUCCAUAAUUCGGCAAGCUGACUUUUAUUACACACUAACACAACCUUCACUUUUUUUUUCAUAUUUUUUUUCCUACUUUUCUCUCUUUUUUUUCUCUUUUUUUUUUCAAUAGUAACAAAAGACUUAGUCGCUAGCCAUUUAAGCCUUUUGACGCGAACUUCAACAUUGGCCGGAUGAAGGAGCCCGGUUACUCAGCUUCUAUCGCCACGUGACCACGUACUCAUAGCAAUUACUACUUUUUGAUGCGAGAAUCGACACUUUUGGUGAAAAUCCCCGGUUACUCGGUAGUAAAUACUAGCGGAGUACAGUCAAGUUUAUUCAUAGCUAAAAAUCACAAAAACUCAAUAUAACACAAGAACCAAAAGAAAACUUGCAUCAGCUAGCCUCAUUUUCAAACAUGGAGAACUAAAGUUAAUAACCGGACCAAUUCACAUGAAAAUGCCAAUAAUCAUUCCCUAUGCCUAGGAAAGUUAACUAAAAAUUAUAAGAGUAAAACAAUCAUCGAUAUUCACCAAAGAGAUGUUUUUGGAUUCAACCACAUGAACUUGAUACCCUUUUAUUAUUAAAACUUGGCAAAAGUAGAAAUAGAGGCAAUAAUCCAACAUCAAACCUUGGCAUGCACUUACGAGCCAAUCACUAAAAAGAAAAAAAAAAUGAAUGAAAGACACUAGCACCAUAAUUGCUCCCCCCCCCCCACACCUAAAUCCUACAUUGUCCUCAAUGGAGGUAAUAAAGUAAUGAAAGUGAAGAGGACAACGAAACUUCCCUCUUUGAGUGGCCAAGAGGUAGGCGGGGGCGGUGGAGGAAACCAAUGUGGUAGAAGUACGUGGCCAAGGUCUGAGACAUCAUAACUCAAUCCAACCAGUAAAUGCACAACUCUGUCCACCCAAAAUCUCAACAAAGUCUCCAAGUGGAUAAUUAAUUUUCAACUCAGAAGCGGCAAUUCCAGCAAUAGCAGUAUAGAAAUUAGACAAUAACCACACAAUCACAAGUUUUCCCUUUUUAAUCAGGCAGCCAACCCAUUAGAAAGAACAAAUAUUAGUCAAAAUACCCCAACCAGUACCACUGGUGCACAACGUAGGCCAAAAUCUAUGAAAUUAUUAUAGCAGAGUAGAACAGUAGUAAAGUAAUAGCCCCAAAUGUUAAUCCAACCCCAAGAAAGAGAACGUGCCACCCAAUGGAGUCAAAUUGUAACAAGGGCCCCAAUAAUAUGGCAUACCAGUGAUAGCAUUUUAGAAAUUGAAAAAAUCACAACCCAAUCACAAAACCUCAGCAGAUGCAAUUCAGUAGGCGCCAGUGAUCCCCAACGCACAAUUGAGAAGUAAAGUUAGUGCACUAAUAAUAUUCGAAAUCCAGCAAAGGUAGUCCAGGGGCAGAACAAAUCGAGGAGAAGCUACUAGUGAAGCAAUUCCAAUGGCUGACCCAAAGUAAUAAGAAUCUCAACUCACAGUCAAAAGGAAACUUGGCUCAACUAAAAUUUCAGCAAAUGUCCUCCGAAAUUUCACCAAUUGCCAUAGCAAAGCAAAGUAGCAGUAAAGCAAUGGCCUCAAGUACUAACCCAGACACAAGACAGAGGCUAAACCCCUAAAGGAAGGCAUCAGAGGACGGAAAUUCCAGGGAAUAAAGCAAGCAAAGGGGCCUUAGGUGGAAAUCUAGUGCACUGAAGUCAAUAAUCAAAACCAAUCCGGCUAGGAGGCAGAGGCUUGCACAAAUAAUUAGGCCCAGAAUUACAGAUAAAGUUUGGUCCCAACUCAAUGAUAUAAAUCAACAGGCAAUUGAAAUAAACUCCCGUGAAAUCCGAACUGGAAUCGAAGGAUAGAACACCCCAAACAAUGGCAAUAAAUUUUCCCGAUUUUAACAAGCAGCUCAAGUGGCACAAAAGCCACGCAACUCAACCCACAACCACAGAGAUAAUCCAACUGCGCCACAGAAACUCUGGGUCAUCGAAACCCAAACAAUCUCUAACAACUAUUCGAAUUAAUGCAAUAAUUAAAGCAGCAGAUGGGAGCCCAAUUGAUUCCAAACCUGUCGGAUGGGUUGGCGGCCAAGGAUGAACAGCGGCGCAGGCUGGUCGAGCAGGCGGAGACGCGGAGGAGCUGGAAGUGAGGAGGGCCGCGGCUGUGCGAGGGGAAACCAGACAGCGGCGGCAUGGGGAGCUGUAUGUCGCGUGCGAUUGAGAGUCUGAGUUGCGCGCGAGUUCGUGGCGCGCGGCUGUGGGCAUGAGGCCGAGACUCUGGAGGAAAUCCGGUGGCAGCACGAGCGGUGGAGAGCAGCGGCGGCGCACCAGCUGGUCGUCUGCUUGACGUGAGGUGCGGCAGUGGAGCGGUGGGGUUGCGUGCGGCAGUGGGCCGAGCCCGCGCCUGUGGCGGCGUGUGGACGGCGGCGGGCUGCUGGUCAAGGUAUCCGGACAACAGAGAGGGAGCAGAAAGAAAAGAGAAAGAAAGAAGGAGAAAGAAAGAAAAAGAAAGAAAGAAAAGAAAGAAAAGAAAAGAAGGAAAAAUUUUUUUUUUUUUUUUUUUAGUCAAAGAACUAGCUACGGUGAAGGAAAAAUUUUUCUUCUUCUUGUUUUUUUCCUUUUUUUUUCUUUUUUUCUUUUGGUUUUUCUAUAUUUAAUUGAUUAUUAUUAUAAAAUUUUUUUCUUUUUUUUAAAUUAAUUGAAUAAAUGAAAUAAUAAUAAUAGUUUUCCUAUAUUUUUCUUUUUUUUUUAUUUGAAUCCUUACCUUUCCUGCGAACGUGACGCGGGCACGUCAUGAGGGCAAGAGAGCUCCCACAAGUUUCAGAAGUUUCUGUUCGUGAGCUUCAUGCACGUCACCACGCGGGCGCGUCAUGACUGAAGGUCACCUACAAAUCAGCAAAAACGAAAAUUAACACCCAAAAUCAGUCAAAUUCAAGGAAAACAAAUUUAAACUAUGACACGAAACCAACAAACAACUAAAAGAAACAAUUGGGUUGCCUCCCAAUGAGCGCCUUUCUUUAAUGUCUUUGGCUAGACAUUAUCACGUUUUGCUCAUGGCGGAUAAAAUCUUGUAGCUCGUCUUAAUGCUUCAUCCUCUAUAUAGUCCUGAUAACCCUCGUAGAUGGAGUAAUUCUUGGGCACACGAGUUACGGGCUUCCAUGGACUAAUAAAUGGCGCUAAACAAGUCAACAAUGAUCUGCAUUCUCCACUCACUCCUCCAUCACACGCAUUCAUUGGUUCAAGAUAUUUUGCCAUCUCCACUCUUAACUUAUUCCUGUCAUGAAAUUUUAAAUUUUCUGGUAUAAUAAAAUCAAUUUCAGUAACAGGAGUUGAAGAAUGGGAGUCAGGAAAAUAUUGAUUAAGGAGUGGAGAAGAUGUCACCGUAUUUGGAGAUUGUUCACUGGAAUCGUUCACUUGAAUGAGUUGAUCCUGGAGUCUCAUUUCUUGCACUUCAGCUUCCUUUUCAACUGCAUCUUUAAAUCCGUUUUCUUGAAACUCUUGCAGUUCCAUGUCAUUUGGCCGGACAAUUGCACUCUCAUCUUCUUCUAGAUCAACAAUGGUUUCCGAGGGCAAUUCUUCCCUUUGAGAAGCCAAUCGAUUCACUCUGGAUGUCAAUAGACAUAGUUGAUCUGCCAGAUAAUUCAUUGCAUCCUUCAUCAUCUCAUCCUCCAUUUGUGUCUCCUGUUGGAAUUGGUAUGUGUUAGUAGCUAUUGGUUCAACUAUUUCUUCAGGAUACAUACCUGACAUAGAUGACGAUUCUUGAGACUCAUACUGCUGAAAAUUCAUUGGCCCCGUUGAAUAAUUAUAAUUGGAGUUAUCCCACCAUCCUUGAUCAUACCCGUAUGGAUUAGGGUCAUACCACGUUUGAGACCAGGGUGAAAAAUCUCCGUAAUUAUUGAAUGGGAUACUCUGAUUAUCUUGAUAUUCGGGGCACAUACCUGUUGAAUGAUCCCUGGCAUAACAAAUUUUACAGGUUGCAGCAGCCAUUCUUUUUCUAAUAGAGUUUACUGCCUCUGCAUAUGCAGACUCAGCAAUAAAACUAGUCAUAUCGCAUUUCCCGGAAAGAAAAUCCAGUAUUUCACCAAAAUACGAAGUGUUAGAAGCCAUAAAAAAAAUAAGAAAAAAAAAUAAAUUAAAAAUGAAAACAAGGUGAACUCAAAAAGAAACAAAUUAAUCUAACACCAGUCCCCGGCAACGGCGCCAAAAAUUGACAGGUUGUCGAGGCCUGUGCAAUAAUAAAACCUGCUCAAACUAAAAGUGAUUUCUGUAGAUAGCGGUGAGCAGGGUCGAAUCCACAGGGACUGGGAGUAAUUAUUUCUUCUCAAGUUCACAGUAACAAGGGGGUGUUUUUGUGCAGAAGGUGACAAUCAAAGAAAUUCAACUAAAAUCUAAGAAACUACUAAAAAUUAAAUAACAAAUUACUAAAAUCUAAUGAGUGAUAAUUAAGGAUCUAGCCAAAGAAUAACUUCAGCAAUGGUUCACCUAAUUGAUCAUUGAAGCAAAGGCAAUUCCAAUUAUUUAUCAAUAAAUAGGUUAUAACUACCAAACAAGCGAUGGCAAUCAACCCCUCCUUACUGUGUCGGUGAUCAAGGUACGCCCGUUAAUCACUGCUCUAAUUGAGAAAUAACCCUAGGUACGCCCGUAGAAUUUAAUUCCCCAAUUGCCUUACGUAUUAGAGGAGCCCUAUUCUAACCAAAUAACGCACUACCAGGGUUAUUUUAGAUUAGCCCGCGUAUCCCCCUGACACGAAUCUAAUCGUGCCAGUUGUCACUAUUUUGAGGUAAUUAAACAAUUACGGAUUUAAUACCCCAAUUGACAAUAGAUUACCCAAUCAAUUAAUUAUCCGGAUCCAAGACAACCAAUUAAUUAAAUAACCAUAAGCUUAGCAAUCAAGGAAUAUGCAAAUACCAAUAAAUAAAAGGAGAAGAUUAAAUUAAAUCGAUCUCACAGUUUUUAGAUGAAUCAAAGCAUCCAUUGCUCCUUGACUAGAAAGAGGGUUUAGCUCAUUAUUGAUGAGGGAAACCCAUGCAAAAUUGUAACAACAGCUGCGGCCAUUGUUCUUGCUCGCGCGAAUUCAACUCGGCCGAAGGAAUAAAGAAAAACGAGAAACUACGGAAAGUGAUUCAAUCUCUCAAUUGCCGUUGACAUGUCAAAGGAGAAGAUACUAUAAAGCUAACAAGAAAAGUCAACAAAAGCCACAUUGGCUCCUGACAUCCGUAAGAAGAAAACCAAAAAAGGUAAGAAAAGACUACAAAGGAAAAAUCAAAAGCAAGACUAAACUAAAAGAUGAGAAAUCAAAAGCUAAGCUAUUGCUCCUAUUCUAAUGGCUACUGUGCGGCUUCCGCCGCCCAGCCGAGAGAGGAAAAAGAAGACUUCGGCCUCCCCCUUUUAAUGUUGUCUUCGGGCCAAUUACCAAGAAGGGUUGCGGUUUGAUAUUCCAAAAAUGUCCCUAGAUGCCUGCUACUUGAACUCUUUCUUGAUAAUUGUCAAAUUGACACUUGUUAUGGUAUUUUCGUUCUACUCCCUGAAAUAAAUGCGAAAUAUAAAAAAUGAGUAGAAUCUAGCAAUUAAUCCACAUCAAGUCAGGUAAUAGGAGGAAUUAAUAAUAAAAUAAAUGAUAAAAUUGCAACCUAUCAAACCUUCUCUUGUAUCUGUGAUAGAAAAUUCAGGUAUCAUUUGAAUGAAUGAAAGAAUAGUUAUUUUCUUACUUUUCUCUUCUCCUGAGCUCUUUUAAAUUUCCCAUUUUCUUAGUAUAAUACCUACCACAUAGGGCUACAAACCAAUCGAACCACUCGCGAGCAGCUUAAGUCCGAACUCGACUCGAGCUCGAUCAACAUCAAGUUCAAGUCGAACUUGAGCUAAUCAAAUCAAACUUGAGAUCAAACUCGAGUUCAAAGAUAUUCAGCUCGUUAACUUGGGAGCUGACUCAAUUAUAUAUAUUAUUUUAUUUUAAUUAUAAAAUUACAUAUAUAUCCCUAAUAUUUUAUUAUUUAUUAAAAAUAAUUAUUUUAUUCAUUUUUAAAAAUAAAAUAAUUAUUUUUUAAACUCGAGCUCGAGGUCAAACUUUAUAUUUUGAUCUCAUCGAUGUCAAACUCAAGUUCGAACUUCAUAAAAUUAAGUUGAGACUCGAAUCAAUUCGGCUCGUUUGCACCCCUACUACUACAUAAAUAAUUCAAAUCCUAUAUCACAUUAGUAUUAGUUGGUCUAAGAAUUCGCUCGGUGAUAUUUUUGAGGUAGCUCAAUGCGCAGAGCACGAGGUAGUGGAUGCCGAGAUGAAAUACGACCUGAAUCCGACGGAUUAGCUACGCUAUGAGAUGCAUCAAGCUCGAGUGUGACUGCGGCGCAUGCUGAUACUCGAGGAGGGUUUUUGGAGGCAGAAAGCGCGGGUGAAAUGGCUUUCAGACAGGGACAGGAAUUCCAAGUUCUUUCACUCAUUGGUAGCGGAAAGGAGACAUCGGGCGAUGAUUCAUCGGGUUAGGAAGACGGAUGGAGUGUGGAUCGAAGAGGAGUCACAAAUUUGUGAUACUGUCGUGACCUUCUUCCAAGAGCUUUUCACGGUAGAGGAAGCUCAACAUCCAAUGAAAUUCUGAAUAUCAUCCCAAAAUUAAUCACUGCUCAGGACAAUUCGCUAUUAACGGAGAUUUCUUCUUUUCAAGAAAUCAAGGACGCAGUCUUUGCACUGGAUGAGGAGAGCGCUGCAGGGCUGGAUAGAUUCACAGGAAUAUUCUUUACCUUCGCAUGGGAGGUGGUAGCCACAGAUGUGUACAGGGCGGUAGUGAGCUUUUUCUGCGGUGUGGAGCUCCCUAAGAGUAUCACGGCUACCUCGAUUGUUCUAUUGCCAAGGCGGAAAACCCCCAAGACUUCACUCAGUAUCGGCCCAUAAGUCUGUGUAAUUUUGCUAACAAAAUCAUUUCCAAGCUUCUAUCAACAUAUUGGCCAAGCUAUUACCCCGGAUCAUAUAUCUACAGCAGAGCGAUUUUGUGCAAGGGAGACAGAUUGCGGAUAAUUUUUUACUAGCUCAAGAGUUAUUAACAGAUAUCAAGAAGUCAAAUCGGGGUGGUAACGUGGUGAUUAAUUUAGACAUGAUGAAGUGUACGAUAGAGUCUCAUAGUCCUUUCUUCUGCAAGUGCUCCGUCACUUCGGGUUCAGUGAGACCUGGAUAGGCAUGAUAUGGCGCCUGGUCUCUAAUGUCUGGUUUUCGGUGUUAGUUAAUGGGACUCCACAAGGUUUUUCCAAAUUUUCAUGGGGUUUACGACAAGGGGAUCCCAUAUCGCUGGCCUUAUUCGUUAUUGGAGCAGAAGUGCUGCCUCGAGCUCUAAGUACUUUAGUACAUAGAGGCGAUUCACUCCUUUUAAAGUACCUCCUCGUUGCCCUAUAGUAUCGCACUUGGCAUAUGCUAAUGAUGUGAUCAUAUUUUUCAGUGGUAUGAAAUAUUCACUAAAAUUGAUUAAAGAGGUACUGGAGGAAUAUAGUGUUGCAUCGGGCCAGCGGAUCAAUCGACAAAAAAGCUAUUUCUUGGUCCAUCCGUAGUUUCCAUCACAAAGGGCAAGCUUGAUUAGAUAGGUACUUGGAUUUUAAAAGCAGGCUUUCCCGAUACGAUACCUAGAAUGCCUGUUGUACGUAGGCAGGCGGAAAAAGGUUUACUUUGCCGAUAUAUAUGAUGUUGUGGCGGCUCGUAUCCUGUAAUGGAAGAAUCAGGUGUUGUCAGCUGGGGGUAAAGUGGUAUUAAUUAAGAGUAUGUUAUCCUCAAUGCCGAUUCAUUUACUUGCAGCUUCUUCUCCUCCAAAGGUGAUGUUCAUGGCCUUUGAGGAGUUAUUCGCAAAUUUCUUGUGGGGGUCAUCUGAUUUUGCUACUAAAUUCCACUGGAUGCAGUGAGAGGAUUUGUGUCGGCCACAGGAAGAUGGGGUAUUGGUCUGCAAGGUAUUAAGGAGGUCUACGACUCAUUCUCGAUUAAACUCUGGUGGAAAUUUAGGCAACAACAAUCGUUAUGGGCAGAGUUUAUGUCAAGAAAAUAUUGUGCAGGGUUGCAUCCUUGUCUAGUUGAGGAAAGCCAUUGGAGUUCCCAUACCUGGAAGAGGAUGGUUUCGGUGCAACAAGUAGGGAAGGACAACAUUAGCUGGAUUGUACAGCAAGGUUCGAUGAAUUUUUGGCACGACAACUGGAUGGGGUCAGGAGUGUUAAGCAAGAAGGUGGAGAUCUUCCAUUACCAUUUGGUGGCUGAUUUUGUUGCUCGGGGGGACAGGAAUAUUGCCAUGCUUAAUCAACAUUUGGAUGUGGGUCUGGUCGGGCGUGUUCUGGAGGUCACGCCCCUGUCUUUUCGGGACAAUGAUAAAAUGAUUUGGGCUUUGACAAAUUCUGGCACAUUCUCCACAUCAUCGGCCUACUCACUUGUCCAAUGGGUUAAUAACAAAUCAUGGUUUUUUGCCUUUGUCUGGCAGCAGGGUCUUCCAAUUAAAAUUUCAUUCUUUAUGCUGUGAUUGCUACAGGGCAGGCUCCUUCUUAUGGACCAAUUGAGGAGAUUGGGGAUAAGCAGCCCUUCCAGGUGGUGGUAUUGCUAGGAUCCAUGGAAGGAGGACCUGAAUCAUGUUUUUUGUUCAAGAGAAAGGGCAAGAUUGGUUUGGCGUUACUUCGAGAUUGAUGCUGGUGAAAUGGGGGAGGUGAAUACAGUGCGACACAUGGCAUUGUUUUGGCAGUUAAGGAAAGGGGAUAACAUAUAUUUGAAGUUUUUGAGUAGUAUACUUCCAUCGAUUAUUUGCUAGGAAUUAUGGAGGGUAAGGAAUAGGGGGAUUUUAGAAGGACAGAGAAUGAGGGUCAGGGGAGACUGUGACUCAGAUAACCCAACUACUAAGUGACAUCUUUCAUGUACAGUUCUCGAGGAUGCAGUGGUCAAAUUUCUCGUGGGAAGGGAUGCUUCGAGAUUUGGUUAAUCGACAAAAGAGGCUGAUCAUUCAGUCGGUCAGUUGGGUAUCCCUGUAGGGGGGGUGUAAGGUAAAUUCAGAUGGGUGUUCUCGGGAGAACCUAAGAUUGAGUAGAGGAGGUGGUCUAGUGCAUGAUCGACACACUAAUUUUGUAUUUGGUUAUUCGGAGCACUUUGGGAUGAUGACUAGUCUACAUGCGGAGCUUCAAGCAUUGCUGCUUGGUGUUAGAUACUAUAUUGCUCGAGGAUACUUGGAGUUACACUUAGAGGCUGAUUCUCUUAUUCUUAUUCGGAUCAUUCAAGGGGUUAGUGCUUGCCCAUGGCGGUUGUAAAGGGAAUUGGAUGAGUUGCUUAUGUUUAAACAACAUUUUCACACGAUUUCACAUUGUUACAGGGAAGCGAAUGCACCGGCUUAUCAUCUUGCAAAUUUUGGUGUUGAUUCCAAUGCAGGACAGGUUUUCAGAUCUAGAGAGGGAUAUUAGAAUGGAUAAGUUGGGGUUUCCAUCAUUUCGUAGACAGGUAAUUGGUUAUCUGUGAAUGUAUCCAUCCAUUGUAAGCAUGAUUUUAGCAUUAAUGGAAAGUUCAAUUUAAUUAAAAAAAGAUUAUUUUCUUGUUUUUUCUAUUGUACAAUUUUUGAAGCAUUCCUAUGGCGUUCAAAAAUAUUCAAUAUUAAUUGUUUAAGAAAUGAUUUCUCACAUUGUGUGUUUGAUAAAAUGUCUAGGAGAAAAACUAUGUAACUGUAGACACCAAAUUUUGAAUAAUUUGUAUGUGGCAUCUACUUCAUGAUUUUUAUUUCAGAUCGCUUGCAUUUGGUUCAUUGUUGUGUGUUUUGCAUUUCUAGUUGUUAUUUUAUUUUAGUUUUAUUCAUUUUGCCCUUUUAGUUUGUCUAUUCAUUUUUAUUUUGUCAUUUUUAGGUUUUUAAUCACUUUUAAGUUUUAGAUUUUAGUUUUUAGUUUUUAGUUUUUAGUUUUUUUAGUUUUUAAGUUUAUAGAGUUUUUAGAAAGAAAAGAAAAAUCUUUUUAGUCAUUUUGUUUUUAUUCGAUGCUUUCUUGAAAGAAAAAUGAAAAUGCAAAAUUAUAAAAAGGAGAAAAAAAAGAAAAAGAGGAAAAGAAAAAAAAAAGAAAAAAAGAGAAAGGAAAAAUUGUUCACAAAAAUAUGUUUAUUUCUUUAAAUUCAAUCUUUGGGCACUUUAGUUAUUUUUAUUAAGUUAUUUUGAGAAAAAGAAAAUGAUGAAAAGAGAAAAAUUGAAAGUUAAAAAAUGGCCAUUUUUGUUUAGUUUUUUGUUUAAAAUUAUUUUUUGUUUUGUUAUUAUUAUUGUUACCUGGUUUGUGUAAUUUUGUUAUUAUUAUUAUUUAUAUUUUAUUUUAUCAUUUCUGUAAUUAUUAUUGUAAAAAAAAAAUAUAUAUAUAUAUAUAUAUUUUGUCGCGGCAUGCACGCUGCAAUUUUUUGCAGCGUGCAAAGGACAUUCGUAAGAGACAAUUGGAGGGUUGGAUUUCACAGGGGUAACAAGCCCUCAUCCUCAUCGUUGAGAUGAGGGUUUUAGGAGAUUUGGAAGUGGAUAUAAAAGGUAAAAGAGCUACAGCCGCAAAGAGGAAAAAGGGAGAGCACGGCUGAAAGAGAAAUUCUGAAGGAAACCAGAAAAAGGGAGAUUAGGGAGUGACGGAUAUGCCUGGGGGAAGAAACAGAGAGCUGUACAAAAGGUUCAGGCAGGGAAAAGGGAUAAAGAUCUGAGAAAAGAAACAAGAGGGAAGAGAGGCUUGGGAGGCUGAGAAGAAAACGGCAAAAGAAAAGCUACGGGAAGGCCAUUUGGUGGCUGGAAGAGAUAAAACAACCGAGGACUACAGGGGUCUAUUGGAAGACAAGAAGCAACGGCCGCGGAGGGGAGGUUUUUUUUCAGAAAAAGAGUGAACGGCUGUAGACAGAAAACAAGAGAGAACGGAGAGGUUUUUGGGUGAACGGCUAAGGAAAACUGAGAAGCAGAAAACCAGAAGGCUACAAAGAGAUUGGAGAAAACUUCAAGGAGAAAGCUGAGAGAGGGCCGAGAGUAAGAAAGGGCUGGCAUAUUGGAGAAAGGACUGGAGUAGCGUGGAAGGGCUAGAGAGAAAACGAAAGGAAAGGAACAACCGAGGGAGAGAGAGCUGACGGCUGAGUGGCUCCAGGAAGAAUCUGAAUAGCAAGAAAGAAAGAAAAAGGUUUCUGGUUCGUUGGAACAAAGAAAAAGAAUCCGGAGGUACAGCUACAAGAGAGUCAGAGAGACAAAGAUUUCAUCUUUUGGAAUACAUCAAGCUUCGGUCAAGCAUUAAAGGUAACAUUUUUUACUUUGGACUGGAUUAUAAGUUGCUCAAUCAUGUUUGAAUACUGAAAGUCUUGGUCUUUACACUUGAUUACGUCCUCCAUGCGAGUUUCUAUCCGUGAAUCUGGUUUGAGUUGGAAGGAGAAGGGAUUGACGUUUAGCUGUGUUUGUGCUUAAUGUUCAUGGCUGUUUCUUUUGGUGGUCUUUAUGCACAAUCUGAGUUUGUGGGCUGGCUAGGCUCUGAAUUCCAUUGUUAGAUUAGAAAAGGGAAAUAGUGGCUAAAGAAUGUGUUUUUUAGCUUGCCGAAUGUGUCUAUUGCAUGAUUUGUUUGGUUGGAUUCCUGCAGCAGUAGUGGGUAUGAUUGCAUUUUCAUUUGAAUUCAUGUUUCAUGGCGUCUUCCCGCAUGGUUGAAAGUCAGAAAUUGCAGGAAUUUCUGGAGUUUGUUGAUAGAUUUGAUUGCAGAAAGUUUACCUCUUCCAUAACUUACAUGAAGUUGGCUGCAACAAGCUAAAAGCCUUUGGUUUGUUGCAGCAACAUGGGUCAAUUUCUGUGGUCUUUGUCUUUCGCUGGUUUAAGCUUGGAGUUCAUGAUGUCUUUGAUCUUUGGCUAAAUGCAUCCUGGACAUGUUAGCUGCAGGUUACAUUUUUUCUGUUGAGAAUUGUAUUUCCUGCCAUGAUAAUGAACCAAACCUGGAAAAUUCCAGCAAGCUUUGAUUGCAGAAUGUUCGUUGCCUUGCAUGAAUUCCUUGAUGAGUUAACAUAGUUUCCUUAUAUGAUUUUUGCUUGCUUGGGUUACGGUAGUUGUGCAGUUGUUAGUUAGUUCAAAGCUUAGAAGAUUGAUUAAGAAGUUUUCUAAUCUAUUCUUGGGUACCGAGGCUUCUAAGCUUGGGAAGCAAAUUGAAAAAGCUUGCUGCACUCUUUCUUCUUUUGCUGUUUUGAUCUUCAUUCCACCCUUGAUGAUCAGCUCCCUUUCUUGAUUCAAUCAUGUAAUGAAACUGCAUGUUUAGUGAAUGAUGGAUAGGUAGGAUCUUGGUGCUGAAUAAAUCUGGUUUGCAUGAUUGAAAUGAAUAGAAAAAGCUGCGGCUGAAGUAGUUUUUCUUUGCAGAAAAUUUUUAGAUUUACAUAUUCCCAUUCUAAGUUUUUCUUUUCUUUCUUGGCUUGUUUGAAUGCUGAGUUCCGUGAGUUCAUUGUUUGGGAUUAAGGCUUUGAUGUUGGGAUGGGAUAUGAACUGGGUUGUGAUGGAAAAUUGCAUUGGAAUGGACACCACAAUUGUAGCCAAGAUGUGUUUUUUAAAAUUGUGGUAACCGGGCACCUGUGGUGGAAGUUCUUGUUCAAUGCACCUGAAUUUGUAAUUUGAUUUUCACCUUGAGAUCUUUCUUUUGCAUGUUAAUAUUAUGCCUUAGUGAUGAGUUGAGUUUGGAUUGGCAAACAAAUGGGUUUUUGUGCUUUUUCUGGUAUGAAUACGCAUGGUUUGAAGCUGUCCAAGCUUGCGGCAGAAAUUUGCAGAAGUAAAAAAAAAAUUUCAGUUUUCUACGUAGCAUGCAUGAAAUGUGUUCUAAAGUUUGCGCUUUAACCCCUCAAGUUUCCCCUUAUGCCACUAUGACCCAGAAAAUUGAGAAAAUUAAUCAAUUUGGUCCCUAUGAUUUUGCAGCAAUGUCACAAGGACCCAAUUACAUUCCAUGUUCUUGCAAUUAGGUCCUAAGGUGUUUGCAUUUGAAUCAUUAAUUGAUCUUUAUUAUUUUGGGGACCUUUGAAGCUCUUUGAUGAUUCAUUUUGACGUUGAUUGUGAUUGAUUAGUGGUCAUUAUUGGGUCCUAGAAAUGCAAGUUUAAACCAUUCAUGGACCUUCAUUCACUCUUGGAUUCUUGAGAUAUAAUGUUUGCUUGGACUUUAUUUUUUUACUUGGGGACUUUUGAGUUUUUUAAAUGCUUCAAUUAGGUUCAAAUGAUUUGAGUAGUGCUUGCAUUUGGGUCUUUAGUGGAUGUUAUGCUUGGGGAUUGGAUGAUCAUGCCUUUUGCCUUGGUCUUUAAGUAGUUUUGACUUCAUUGAGUUGCAAUUGAGGGGAAGUUUUGAUGUUUUGGUGGAUUUAAAUUGUUUAGUUUAUAUCUUAUCACUAAAUUGGUGCAUUAAUCUUUUGUUUUUGGUGAUUUUAGCCUAAGCUAGUCUUUUCUUGGGUGACUCUAGCCAAGUUGAGUUUGUUUACUUCCUUAGUAUCACCAACGGGGAGGUAUAAUCUCUUUUACCCCUUUUGUUUCUCUCCUAUGUGGACUAAUGUGCUCAUUGAAAUUUGCAUGUCUACUUGCUUUCCUAGCCUCUCCUUAUUUCCUUUCAUUUAUUUCAUUUACUUAAGUUAUUCUUUUAAUGGGGUAUGUGUACACCUCUUGGCUUGUAAUAGAUAGGGCGUAGCAAGUAAUUUGGUCCAUUUCCCCUUUCCCCUUUGUUUUAGUUAGCAAAUGUAAUGGUUGCAUGCCUACGUGUUAAGUGUUUAAUCGCUUUAUUAGGCCCUUGCAUCUAGUCAAGCAUGCUAAGUGUUAUGUGCUACGUGUUUAUAAGUGAUUCGCAUGUCUACUCGCUUUUUAUAGUGUGGAUGAAUGGAAUGAAUGAAUGUACGUCACCACACUAGUCCAACGCUAGUUGCGGCUUCUUUUAUCGUUUCCACUAGUCCAACGCUAGUCGGAAUUCAUAGAAUGGGCUAGUCCAAUGCUAGACCCAAUAGGUUCUUUUUUCCCUUUUUCAUUAAGUGCAUGAUCACCACAUAUCACGCAUUUUUCCUUAGUUUAUCAUUUGGUAUGUUCCUCAAACCUCUUCCCCUUCACUUUAGGACUUGCAUCUCAUGCUAGUUAGGGUUCAUUUGCGUGAAAAUCCCCUCUUGAUAAGGGAAACGAGCGAGUGUGGCUACUCGAUAGCCUUAGCACGCUAGUUUUACCUUCUAAUCCGAGGGAAAAUAAAAGUCGAAAAUUAGGCGUUAUCCCCGUAC
RNAcentral lists this long non-coding RNA (40459 nucleotides) under Coffea arabica (coffee). Its description in RNAcentral is "long non-coding RNA (CARA_LNC004407)". Lineage: Eukaryota; Viridiplantae; Streptophyta; Magnoliopsida; Gentianales; Rubiaceae. The record is from RNAcentral.